GAUGAACGCUGGCGGCGUGCCUAAUACAUGCAAGUAGAACGCUGAAGGAAGGAGCUUGCUCUUUCCGGAUGAGUUGCGAACGGGUGAGUAACGCGUAGGUAACCUGCCUGGUAGCGGGGGAUAACUAUUGGAAACGAUAGCUAAUACCGCAUAACAGUAGAUGUUGCAUGAUAUCUACUUAAAAGGUGCAAUUGCACCACUACCAGAUGGACCUGCGUUGUAUUAGCUAGUUGGUGAGGUAACGGCUCACCAAGGCGACGAUACAUAGCCGACCUGAGAGGGUGAUCGGCCACACUGGGACUGAGACAAGGCCCAGACUCCUACGGGAGGCAGCAGUAGGGAAUCUUCGGCAAUGGACGGAAGUCUGACCGAGCAACGCCGCGUGAGUGAAGAAGGUUUUCGGAUCGUAAAGCUCUGUUGUAAGAGAAGAACGAGUGUGAGAGUGGAAAGUUCACACUGUGACGGUAUCUUACCAGAAAGGGACGGCUAACUACGUG
This 497-nucleotide ribosomal RNA is filed under the name uncultured bacterium. RNAcentral describes it as "partial 16S ribosomal RNA". It matches the Rfam family "Bacterial small subunit ribosomal RNA", at positions 28 to 507 of the family's 1533-position model. The record is from RNAcentral.